Phrynosoma platyrhinos (Desert horned lizard) is the source of this 72-nucleotide non-coding RNA. NCBI's taxonomy places the organism in Eukaryota, Metazoa, Chordata, Lepidosauria, Squamata, Phrynosomatidae. The record is from the annotation of a GenBank genome assembly.
GCCAGCAUGGCAUAGCGGUGUGCAUGCUGGACUUUGACUCUGGAGACCUGGGUUCGAUUCCCAGCUCGGCCA